GGAACAUGGUUGAGUGGUAGAGCGUCUGCUUGGUGGGCAAAAGGUCCCGAGUUCAAUCCUCAGCAUCACCA
RNAcentral lists this transfer RNA (71 nucleotides) under Sphaerodactylus townsendi. RNAcentral describes it as "tRNA-Thr". Lineage: Eukaryota; Metazoa; Chordata; Lepidosauria; Squamata; Sphaerodactylidae. The record is from RNAcentral.